AGUAAUGUGUGGUUCUCCCUGUCUGUAUGACCCUAUAGUAGUGUGUGGUUCUCUGUCUGUUUGACCCUAUAGUAGUGUGUUGUUCUCCCUGUCUGUAUGACCCAAUAGUAGUGUGUGGUUCUCCCUGUCUGUAUGACCCUAUAGUAGUGUGUGGUUCUCCCUGUCUGUUUGACCCUAUAGUAGUGUGUGGUUCUCCCUGUCUGUAUGACCCUAUAGUAGUGUGUGGUUCUCUCUGUCUGUUUGACCCUAUAGUAGUGUGUGGUUCUCCCUGUCUGUAUGACCCUAUAGUAAUGUGUGGUUCUCCCUGUCUGUAUGACCCUAUAGUAGUGUGUGGUUCUCCCUGUCUGUAUGACCCUAUAGUAGUGUGUGGUUCUCCCUGUCUGUAUGACCCUAUAGUAAUGUGUGGUUCUCCCUGUCUGUAUGACCCUAUAGUAGUGUGUGGUUCUCCCUGUCUGUAUGACCCUAUAGUAAUGUGUUGUUCUCCCUGUCUGUAUGACCCUAUAGUAAUGUGUGGUUCUCCCUGUCUGUAUGACCCAAUAGUAGUGUGUGGUUCUCCAUGUCUGUAUGACCCUAUAGUAGUGUGUGGUUCUCCCUGUCUGUAUGACCCUAUAGUAGUGUGUGGUUCUCCCUGUCUGUAUGACCCUAUAGUAAUGUGUGGUUCUCCCUGUCUGUAUGACCCUAUAGUAAUGUGUGGUUCUCCCUGUCUGUAUGACCCUAUAGUAGUGUGUGGUUCUCCCUGUCUGUAUGACCCUAUAGUAGUGUGUGGUUCUCCCUGUCUGUAUGACCCUAUAGUAGUGUGUGGUUCUCUCUGUCUGUAUGACCCUAUAGUAAUGUGUGGUUCUCCCUGUCUGUAUGACCCUAUAGUAGUGUGUGGUUCUCCCUGUCUGUUUUACCCCUAUAGUAGUGUGUGGUUCUCUAUAAGUAGAGGCUCCUCAGAGAAGGAAGGGGAGGACCAUCCUUCUCAGUGAAAUUUCAUUAAAAUAAAAAUAGUGAAACACUAAAAAGGAUAGCUUUUGUCCUCUGUGUAUAUUGACUUCAACACAAAACCUAGGAGGCACGUAGGCCUCACCCCCUUCCAUAGACCUGCAUGGUAAUUUUGACCACUUCCAGAAGACGACCUCCAACCAAUCAGCAUUGAUACGUAUGAACUGACAUGUUGUCAUCCAAUCAUAGGAUUAGGAUCAGAUGAAACGAGUGUUGUAUUGGGGUUGUGCCGCAAAGCAUUAGGGUGGGAAUCUAUGUGUUGAGGAGCUUGGUGACAUUAUUGGAUAGAGAUUGAAAAGUCAUAGUUGAGCAAUUUUACGAUAUUUUUCAAUUCAAAUUAGUUUCUUCAAAUUACAGGAGACGGAGGAGGUAGAUUAUAAGUAGUUUUCUUGGUUUUAGAACAUAAUUCGUGUGUCCAGUUAGUGCAAUUUAUUUCAAUUUGCCUUGCUAACUUCAGUAGCAAAUAGUAGUAGCUAGCUACCAGCUCCAGUUUUCGCCAAAAACGCCACCGCAAAUUUUGUUAACUUUUUGAUGAAGAAUCCCUUUUAAUUCACUGUGGUACGCGGAAAAUGUGCUAAUUAAAACCGAGGGUCGACCUCUGCCUGAGAUUAGUUUCACGAAGAAGGGUGAAAAGGUGAGGGUGUUCAAUACCGACUGGUAUCAAAAGUAGAGCUGGAUAACAGGGCCUUUCAUUAAGCCACCUGUAUUUCUGGCCUUGCCUGCUUUUUGUAAAGUCUGAGCCUUGGCCGAAAGGUGGGUACAGUGACCUGAAGAACAUCGAUCGUUAAGAUAAACGGCAAAAUAAAAAGCAGGGAGCAUAUAAAUGUCCACAUCAGAUUCAAGCUUCUGUGAAAAAGCCGCAUCGAUCAUGGUGGAAGUCUUGAUAUUCAAACUGCGCAACAACGAGAAAGUAAGAAGAAACAGGGAUGUUCUCAAGGGGCUUAUCAACACCACUGCGUUUUCGCCAUGCAAUAAUGGGCUUUUAGAGGACACGACGAGAGGGAAAGUUCCGCUAACAAGUGCAACACAAGGAACUUGCAGCGGUAAUUGCACGUUACGAUGCUUGACUUGCAGAACAUAUGGAACUUUAUACUUUUUUUCUUGGAUGUUCUGAAUGAUUUGAUAGCUUCCAUCGCGUCAUUCAUUAAAAGUUGGAUGAAAGAGAGUUUGACGCGGAACAUGUUUUAUUUCGCGCGCGCUUAAGUAGGGUUUCCACUUUGCUCCGGUAUUUAUUUAGCAAAGAUAACAUAAUCACUCCAGACAAACACAAGCAAAAACUCAUGACAUAAAUGUUGCAGCAGCCUAGGCUAUACCUAAACAUUAGAGAUCUGACAUGCUGUAUGGGAUGAAAACGAGACAAUCUUUCAGUCUGAUUAACUGUAGGUUACUAAUAAUAGGUGCUGCAUACAGCCUAAGCACCCAGUUCAUCUGGUCAAGGUAAAUAAUUGGUCAUGUUAUGUAUUUAUAGUCCAUUUGUGUGUCAGGAGAAAAUGUGAAUGUGAUCAAAUUUGGUUUAUAUUCAACAUUGGGCUGGCUAGGCUGCCUAAACGUUUCCAACCCAAAAUGAUUAACUGGAAUGAAUCUAUCAACAUAAUAGUGAUGACAGAUGUCAGUCAUUUGUUAUAAGGCCUACAGCUGCAUAGGCCUGCAUAACGCAAACAUGCAUGAAGCAAGCUCAGCCCUGUGAGUUCUGUCUAUCAGUUGUCUGGGUCUGGGUAGAGGAAAUCCCCCUCCUAAUCUAGUCUAAAUAUAAUUCAUAUGAACAAGUAUAAGGUUGCUACAGUUUGACAGUUUUUAAAAUAACCAUGUGACCUGAUUAGGAAAAACUGGUCACAUCAUAGCCCUUAUAAAACCUUUUUACGACUGAAUAAUCACUGUCAUACCUUUAUAGGGUCCAGAGUUUUCCUGGUUAGGUUAACAGAUAAGGAAAAACUAUUGAGUCCCAGAGGGUAAAUUGAAUGUUUCCUCUCCAAGCACUUCAAAUCCUGUCCUGCAAUGAAGUCAAGCCUCUGAACACCUCAACUCAUGCCUCGAACCCUCAUUCAAUCACUGCUGUGAUCCCUUUCCAACACUAUUGCCAUAACAGGGCCGGCUGUGGAUUCCUGUGUGUUGUGACCAAGAGAACAGAUGCCUUGGGUUCAGUGAAAACAAUUACAAGGUUGCUUACUGUACACACACACACACCAGGCUGAGCCCACUGCAGAGGGGACAAGGCCUGCUCCCAGUGUUGUGUGUUUUCAGUUCCACUCCAGACUAAUUCCUCCACAUAGAAACAGGGAUGUGUGUUUUCAGUCCCACUCCAGACUAAUUCCUCCACAUAGAAACAGGGAUGUGUGUUUUCAGUCCCACUCCAGACUAAUUCCUCCACAUAGAAACAGGGAUGUGUUUUCAGUCCCACUCCAGACUAAUUCCUCCACAUAGAAACAGUGUUGUGUGUUUUCAGUUCCACUCCAGACUAAUUCCUCCACAUAGAAACAGGGAUGUGUGUUUUCAGUCCCACUCCAGACUAAUUCCUCCACAUAGAAACAGGGAUGUGUGUUUUCAGUUCCACUCCAGACUAAUUCCUCCACAUAGAAACACAGGGAUGUGUUUUCAGUCCCACUCCAGACUAAUUCCUCCACAUAGAAACAGGGAUGUGUUUUCAGUCCCACUCCAGACUAAUUCCUCCACAUAGAAACACAGGGAUGUGUUUUCAGUCCCACUCCAGACUAAUUCCUCCACAUAGAAACACAGGGAUGUGUUUUCAGUCCCACUCCAGACUAAUUCCUCCACAUAGAAACAGGGAUGUGUUUUCAGUCCCACUCCAGACUAAUUCCUCCACAUAGAAACAGGGAUGUGUGUUUUCAGUCCCACUCCAGACUAAUUCCUCCACAUAGAAACAGGGAUGUGUGUUUUCAGUCCCACUCCAGACUAAUUCCUCCACAUGGAAACAGGGAUGUGUGCCUGUGUGUCUCUGUGCUUGAUGAGGUCACCCAGCAGACAGAGCCAGAGGGAAACUGAACAGGCAAACAUGACUGAACAGGACAGGAGGGAGGACCACUCUUUUCCGUCCCAAAUGGCACCCUAUUCCCUUUAUAGUUCGCUAAUUUUGAACAAUGCCCACACAUACACAUGCAUGCAUACACACACACACACGCACACACACUCUCCAGUGAAAAUUACUAUUUUUAAAACACUAUCCACUACUGGGGAUGUAGGGUGUGAGUGUAUGUGUUGAACAGAUGUUUUUAUACACUGUGCUGAUUUCCUCAACAAGUUGCAGCAUUGCCCUGUACUGCCCCGGGACAGCAAGCACCCCUGCCUCCACGCAAAACAACUAGCAGGUACAAAGAAUGUACAAAUCAGAAUGGGUGGAACACACGUUCCUUUUCAAAACAAUGGUAUGUACAUGUCACCUCAAAGCAAUAUCACGUUGCAAUGUCACAACAAAUCACCGUUAUAUGAUAGAAGCAUGGCUUGUGAGAAGGAGAGGGAGAAAGAUGCAUAGAUAAAUAGAGAGAAAAGAAAGGAAGAGAGAAUGUUUAAAAGGAGAAAGAUGAGAGGGAGAGGAAAUAGCUGGAUGUCUGAAGGGACUCAUAAAUCCAGAAACAGGAAUGAGGAAGAUGACUAUGUUGGACUCCCUGGGGGUUUGUGUUUGGAGUCUCAGUCGGGGGCUGGAGGAGGUUGUGAAAGACCAGGCGGAAUUAGCGGAGGCAGGUGGAAGAAUAGGAGUCAGAAACAAUAUUUGCUAAAUGUACUGUACGGCAUGAUAAAGCAAUCUGAAUUGGAAUGAAAGUUUGAGGGGCCAGGCUGUUUGAGAGUUGUAGUAGGUGGCUGGGGGGAGGAUGGGGAGGGUUGCAAGAGAUGAGGGGCAAUUGGGGGAGGCAGUUUGGAAUGGCAGUGAGCUGGUGGAGAGGUCAGAUAGAGGUCAGGUAGGUAGAGUACAGUUACAGUACUGUGCUGCUCAAUCACUCAUCUGACAUAACACACUGACAUCCAGUCAGUGCGGCGCCACAGGUCAGUUCUAUCUGAAUCUCAUACCUUAUGAAUCACAGCUUGAGACUAGAUUGGAUACAGAUUCAGAAACACUGGUUUGGUGUAUUGGAUGCAUCAUGAGAAAAUGUACAAGGCUUCGGAGGGGUCAGCACUGUGGGGAACCUCUGGCCUGGUGAAGCUGACAGGAGCUCAAAGACUAAGAAAAUAGACCCCCUACUUUAUCAUCCCAGUAACUCUUCUUUCUCUUAUCUGAGCAGACCGGAAACCUUUCAAUAUACAGUAUACAUUCAAACAAUACUUUAGAACCAUUUAAAUAUAAUAAAUUGGAAGGUUGUGCAGGACCAUGGUAGAUGAAGGAACCAAACUUUUCAGACUGUUAGAGUAUUUAUCUGCUCAGUAAGGCAGGGCAUUAUGUCUGCUGUUUGUAACAGUGUGUUAUAUGUCAAAAUGUGAUUGUAUUAUACAUUGUGGACGAAAAGAGAUCCUAAUCAAAUCUCUCACACUGUCUCCUGGUAUUUUGUGUUGAAACUCCUUUACUUUAUCACCACAGUUAUUGCAGGUUGAUAAAGUAUGUGUCAUGGUGAACUUUACCCAGCUACAGUAUGCACAAUUAACAAACCAUUAAAACACAAAAAUGAUAUUUGA
Long non-coding RNA from Salmo salar (Atlantic salmon), 5604 nucleotides. RefSeq lists it as uncharacterized. The record is from RefSeq and is a predicted model, not a curated record. NCBI's taxonomy places the organism in Eukaryota, Metazoa, Chordata, Actinopteri, Salmoniformes, Salmonidae.